This 941-nucleotide long non-coding RNA is filed under the name Marmota monax (woodchuck). Lineage: Eukaryota; Metazoa; Chordata; Mammalia; Rodentia; Sciuridae. The record is from RNAcentral.
GUCAGAGUCACUUGCCUUCAAGAUUGUCCCUACUCCCGCCUUUAACAUGUUGAUGAACCUCUUUAAUGUGUUUACAACUUGCAGAUGAUAAAGACUUUCACUUAAUGUGUAAAAAAUUUUGAUCUCUAAUGCAAUGCUAGGAUGUGAAUAAGGCAGGCAGUAUUACCCCAGGUUUUCAGAUGAUAGACAGGGCUGGGAGCCUCAGUGACCAUGCGCUCGCACAGGCAGGUGGUCAGUGAAACUGAAAGUCAGCACAGUGCAACUAUUCAGCAGAAUGCAACUAUGGGAACAGGGCAGCAACAAGAGUCUCAGAGAACCACAGAGCCGCCAUUAAAGAGAGAACUGAAACCAGAAGCUGGAUUCUUGUAACACCCCCUGCUUCAACUGCAGAGCAUGCACAUGGAGCUGUCUCCAUGUCAUGGUUUCUGGUCAGGCCCUUCCUUAGUGAUCACUGUGUGUGUUUUAGAAAAGGGCUGUCAGUGUGAUAUGGGGGAGGAAUUCAGUGUGGGAAAUUCUGCUGUUGACAGUACCGUGUAGCACACAGAGCAUCAAUUUUAGGGUCAGAAGCACCUAGGUUUUAGUUUGAACUCUACCCUCCCUAGCUGAGGAGUAUGAGCGAGUUUCUUAAGUUCUUUAAAUUUCAUGAUCUCCAUAUGGAAAUCGGGAAGAAGAAUACCUACUUUACGGUUUUUGAGGAGGAUUAAAUGAAAUAUGUGUACAGAGUGCUCAGCCAAGUGUCUGGCUGUUGGGAUUUGUGUCCUGCCUCUGACUCCUUUGUAUCACUUUCCUUUCAUCGGUGUCAGAAAAUAGGAUUCACGCCAAGGAGCCUGACACUCACCCCACCACACCUACCAGGCUGACUUGUUUUAGUAGUCAGGCAUUAAUCCCUUCCACCGUCUUCUCUCUUUGGGGAGCUACGGAAUCUGGGGAAAGACACGCUA